GCGGACAUGGCGGAAUUGGCAGACGCACCAGACUUAGGAUCUGGCGGGAAACCGUGGGGGUUCAAGUCCCUUUGUCCGCACCA
RNAcentral lists this transfer RNA (83 nucleotides) under Bacillota bacterium. Its description in RNAcentral is "tRNA-Leu". It matches the Rfam family "tRNA". From Rfam's summary of the family: Transfer RNA (tRNA) molecules are approximately 80 nucleotides in length. Their secondary structure includes four short double-helical elements and three loops (D, anti-codon, and T loops). RNAcentral also lists the same sequence under 2 other names. Lineage: Bacteria; Bacillati; Bacillota. The record is from RNAcentral.